CCCGGGACUCGGUGGGUUUCGCGUCUCCGAUUCAAACGCAGCCACACAAUGAAACAAAAGCUCCCCUCCCCACCCCCGCACACACACACACACACACACGCAUGCUGGAAAGGAGCCCCGCAGAAGCCGGAAGGAACCCGUGGACACCUUGGUGAAGUUUUGAUAAGAUGUAACAACGUCCUGUACAUCAGAGGAGUAGAA
This is a long non-coding RNA of Trachemys scripta elegans, 201 nucleotides long. RefSeq lists it as uncharacterized. The transcript has 2 exons. The record is from RefSeq and is a predicted model, not a curated record. Lineage: Eukaryota; Metazoa; Chordata; Testudines; Emydidae.